RNAcentral lists this long non-coding RNA (3833 nucleotides) under Homo sapiens (human). RNAcentral describes it as "non-protein coding lnc-NTMT1-4:2". The record is from RNAcentral. Lineage: Eukaryota; Metazoa; Chordata; Mammalia; Primates; Hominidae.
GUGAGCGCUCGUGAUAAACAGCCCGGAGCCGAGCCGCCGCGCAGCCGGGCGGGAGGCUGCGUAUCAGAGCUCCUGGCAGGCUCGCAAAAAGCUGUCCCCGGCCCGCCGCCGCUCUAUCAGCCCACGGAGGGAGGGCGGCGGGGGAGGGAGGGAAAAAGUAUUUGCUUCAGCCCUUAAUCACGGAAUUUGAAAUCCCAGCGAGUCGGUGCCAUUUAUUUUCAGAGGCUGUCAAGGCUGGUUUCAGCAUUUAAAAGAAAGGAGGAUAAAACGCAUUUGCAUUUCUCCCCCACUCUCGCUGCGCGCUCGCCGGCGCUCCCCCUCGUUCCCUGCGCAGCUCGCGGGUCGGGCGUUGGCGGGGAGGGGGAGGCCAGAGGCUUUUCAAGGCGCUGGGGGCUCCGGCCGGCCCGGUGGGGGCCUCCCCCCGCCAGAGUCAGGGGUGUCGGGCGAUUCCGGGGUGGGGGCCCGAGUCUGGUCCAGCGGGGCUCUGGGUGGCAGAGGGGGGAAGGUUAAGCGGGGCUGCUGGCUUGGGGAAUUUGGGGCCGUCCGCGGGGCUCUCCUCGGGCUCCAAGCUUUCACCCCAGAAAACAGCCCUGAACCCCAAAUUUGCUCCAGCCCCAGGGGGCCCUACCUGCCCUUCCUGGCUUCCCCAGUGGAAAUCUAAGGUACUGGAGGCUUCCAGGGGAGCCAGGGCACCCCUAGGACAACCCCCUCUCUCUGCAGAUGGGGAAACUGAGGCCUGGAAACAGAGAACGGUGGGACCAAGGUCACAUGAUGGCGGAAGGAGGACAAGGAAGGAGGCUGACUGCGUAUCCAGCACGUGUUCCGUGCCAAGCCUGUGCAGGGGCCAAGGACCGGGGUCUCUGGACAGCGCCGGUUGCUGGGUCCCACGCUGGGCGACAGGGCCUUUGCAAUCAGGCCGACAGGGUUUGAACCCUUGCCGCGGCACUUUCCAGAUGGCCUUGGCCACUGUCCCCUCUCUGACCUUCAGAUGGAGCCCAUGGCACCUCCGGAGGGGGUGUGUGCUUCCAGGACCAAAUCCACUUGUGCGUGGUUAGGCACGAGGUGGGGGGAGGCGGCUCAGCCACCGGGACCUGUCCUGCCUCCACCCUCUGUGCAACCCCUUUCCUUGCCUUUUGUCUCUGUUGCUUUUGGGGGGUGAUUAGCCGCUAGCUCAGCGGCUAGAGGAUUCUCUCCCGGAAAAGGCUCCGGAGUUGAGGCCCAGACCCCCAGGGCAAGACGGAAUCUGCUCCCCAGGGCACUAACUGAGACUCGGUUCCCUCACUGGUAAAAUGAGAAAACUCACUUAUGGUCAGGGGUCCCCGAGUUAAUGCCAGUGAAUUCCUUGGCAGAGCAUCAAGCACUUGGAGAAGCCCCCACCCCCGGUCAUUGUGAUGAUGGUUUGUUUGUUUGUUUGUUUGUUUUGAGACGGAGUCUCGCUCUGUCGCCCAGGCUGGAGUGCAGUGGCGCGAUCUCGGCUCACUGCAAGCUCUGCCUCCCGGGUUCACGCCAUUCAGGGGAGUGGCGCCGAGACACCGUGUAGCGCCCAUGCCAAGGAGGAAGCGAGACAGCAGGAGCGGAGGAAAGAACCCCGGGCUGUGUUGAGGAAGCCUCCUACUUUUGCCUGAAGUGAGGUUGUUGUUGUUGUUGUUGUUGUUUUUUCCACGUGCCUUAUUCAUCCACGUAACCUCAGCCUCUAGUGCAGCGUCCUAUUUUUUGGCUUGUAUUAUUAUUUUUAAUUGGCACAUAAUAAUUGUACAUAUUUAUGGGAUGCAGUGUAAUAUUUUAGUACACAUAUACAAUGUGUAUUGGUCAAAUCAGGGUAAUUAGCACAUUCAGGGUUGGAGUUUUUCUGUCAAUACAGAUACUUAUAGAAACUUUUUUUUGUGUGAGAUAGGGUCUUGCUCUCUUGCCCAGGCUGGAGUGCAGUUGCAUGAUCACAGCUCAAGCCAUCCUCCCACCUCAGCCUCCCGAGCAGCUGGGACUACAGGCACAGGCCACCAAACCCGGCGAAUUUUUUAUUUCUUCUAGAUAUAGAGUCUCACUAUGUUGCCCAGGCUGGUGUCAAACUCCUGGGUGCAAGUGGUUCUACCACCUUGGCCUCCCAAAGUGCUGGGAUUACAGGUGGAAGCCACCACGCUUCCCUAAAAAUGCCAGUCAAUAUUAUAUGUCCUGUUUGGCAAUUUAUUGCACCUCAUUAUUUUUCCUGGCUGCGUAGUAUUCCAUUGUGCACAUGUACCUGUAUGUGGUUAUCCAAUCCCCAGAGGAUGGGCACAUAGGUUGUGUCUCGUUUUGUCCUCUGACCUCAGGGCUGCAGAGAACAGGCUGGCCUCAUACAGCAGGCAUCAUUAUUGGUGUCAGUGGGGCCCCUGUUCUGAUAGUCACAGAGAGGCACGGGUGGCUGUGGGAAGCUCUAUCCCCUUUCAUAGGGAAAGGCAGUUUAGGGCUCUGGAAAGCCAGGGCUGGGAGGGAAAUGGCGUCAGGGAAACCAGCAUAGAAGUCCCUAUCUGGCCAUCUUGGCGGAACCCAAAGCCUCGAGUCCACAGUGGGCACCUGACUCAGCAGGGAGGAGGGUGGGAGGCCUAGAGCUUUGUGGCAAGGCAGGCAGGGCUUUCCUUCUUGAUUCCUUCCUUCCUUCCUUCCUUCCUUCCUUCCUUCCUUCCUUCCUUCCUCCCUCCCUCCCUCCCUCCCUUUUCUUUUCUUUUCCUUUUCUUUCUUUCUUCUUUCUUUCUUUUCUUUCUUUCUUUCCUUCUUUCUUUCUUUCUUUCUUUCUUUCUCUCUUUUUCUUUCUCUCUCUCUCUCUUUCUUUCUUUUUUUUCUUUUUUUUUUUUGAGACAGAGUCUUGCUUUGUUAACCCAGGCUGAUGUGUAGUGGUGUGAUCUCGGCUCACUGCACCCUUCACCUCCCAGGUUCAAGCGAUUAUCCGGCCUCAGCCUCCCAAGUAGCUGGGACUACAGGUGUGCACCAGCACAGCCAGAUAAUUUUUGUAUUUUUAGGAGAGAUGGGAUUUCGCCAUGUUGGCCAGGCUGGCCUCAAACUCCUGGCCUCAAGUGAUCCACCCACCUCGGCUCCCAAAGUGCUGGGAUGACAGGUGUGAGCCUCCGCGCGUGGCCUCCUUCUUGAUUCUGUUGUUUGUGCCUCAAAGGGAAUAUUCAGAGUGUGGCUCAUGAAGUCUGGCCAACCUCCAUCGGUUUGCAAGCUCUGGCACCUCGGAGCCUCCGUUUCCCAAUCUAUAAUAAGAGGACAGUAAUGGCACCCACCUCACAGGGCAGCUGUGAGGGCUCCAUGAGGGAGUCCAGGCAAAGCCUUUCAGCGAGUUUCCUGAAAUGCUGUGAGGUCUCAGGGAAGGCUUGCCAUCGUCAUUAUUGUUUCUAACGACAUUUUCAGAAAUCUGAAUGUAAAAAGACCUUCUCUGAGUUGGGUGUCAAAACCAGAAAAAGUCUGUGGUGGGAUGUGUGUGUGUGUGUUUCCUUCUCACACUGUCCCUUGCACGUGGGCCCGGGCCCCUGCCUGGUUCUCUCUUUCUCACUAUCUGGGACCCCCUAGACUAAAUCCAUCUCUCCAAGAAUCACUGUCUUGCCCCCUCUGUCCUUCUGAGACCUGGGUGGCCUGGGGGGAGAAGCGCCCACCCCCCAACCCCGUCCGCACCACCACUUUCCCAUCCAGCCCCACCCUCAGCCUCCUUAAUACAGGCUCACCUGGGGCCUCAGUGCCCAGUCCUCCCAGCGCCCGCCCCAGCUGCACUUGAGUCCUGGAUCUAUCAUCAGCCCUUGCUGUGGGAAGUGGCUUUAACCUCCCUGGGCCUCAGUUUCUCUAUCUGUAAAAUGAGGAGCAUA